ACUUUUUUAAUUAUAACAUUAUCCUCAGAUGACAUUAACCAUAUUAAUUUUGAUUUAUUUGGGAGGCUUUUAAAGUUUUUGUUAACCUUAUUUAAGUAAUCUAUAUAUUCAGAUCUUUUAUUUUCUAAAACAGGACACUGAAGAAGAAAAUGAAUUUCAUCUUCAACUUCAGUGUUACAUAAUUUACAUAUUCUAUCCUCCACUCGAAGCCCCACAUAUCUGCCUCUUUCAAUUUCUAAUUUAUGUGCACUGACUCUAAACUUAGUGAGCAGUCGCCUUUCAUCCUCAUUUAAAAUUAAUAAGUAUUUUUCCAUAUAAAUAUUUUCUUUAAAUAAUCUGUAAGUUCUUAGUUUAUUUCCAUGCUGUUUAUUUUGUCUAUCAUUGUAAAGUUCAGAUUUCCAAAUACAAGAAUAUUUCUGUUUUAUUUUCCGGUAAAUUAGUGAUUUUAAAUCCAUCUUU
This 459-nucleotide long non-coding RNA is filed under the name Mytilus galloprovincialis (Mediterranean mussel). The record is from RNAcentral. Lineage: Eukaryota; Metazoa; Mollusca; Bivalvia; Mytilida; Mytilidae.